GCCGUACCAUGCUGAAUAUACCGGUUCUCGUUAGAUCACCGAAGUUAAGCAUCAUUGGGCGCGGUCAGUACUUGAAUGGGUGACCACCUGGGAACACUGCGUGCCGUU
RNAcentral lists this ribosomal RNA (108 nucleotides) under Caerostris darwini. The record is from RNAcentral. Lineage: Eukaryota; Metazoa; Arthropoda; Arachnida; Araneae; Araneidae.